RNAcentral lists this ribosomal RNA (426 nucleotides) under uncultured bacterium. Its description in RNAcentral is "bacterial SSU rRNA". It matches the Rfam family "Bacterial small subunit ribosomal RNA", at positions 354 to 796 of the family's 1533-position model. The record is from RNAcentral.
GUAGGGAAUAUUGCACAAUGGGCGCAAGCCUGAUGCAGCAACGCCGCGUGCGCGAUGAAGGCCUUCGGGUCGUAAAGCGCUUUUCUGGAGGAAGAGCAAGGACGGUACUCCAGGAAGAAGGAUCGGCUAACUACGUGCCAGCAGCCGCGGUAACACGUAGGAUCCGAGCGUUAUCCGAAUUUACUGGGCGUAAAGCGCGUGCAGGCGGUUUGGUAAGUUGGACGUGAAAUCUCCCGGCUCAACUGGGAGGGGUCGUUCAAGACUGUCAGACUAGAGGGCAGUAGAGGGAGGUGGAAUUCCCGGUGUAGUGGUGAAAUGCGUAGAUAUCGGGAGGAACACCAGUGGCGAAAGCGGCCUCCUGGGCUGCACCUGACGCUCAGACGCGAAAGCUAGGGGAGCGAACGGGAUUAGAAACCCCAGUAGUCC